UGCGGCCCGCUUUAUAGUGGCGGUUGCCGGGCAACCGGCUAUGACGCUAAACGCCACACGGAAUAGACGUUACGGACCCGGGGGCGGUACCCGGCGCCUCCACCAAAUUUCCCGGCCCACGACGCGGGCCGGAACCUUGGGGGCGAAAUAGGAUCGACGUGCGCAGUAAAGGUCUGGUUUGCGUUCGGCAUGAUACCACCGUUAUCGGGUCAAUCCUAACAAGUGCCAACGACAACGUUGAACUUGCCGCUGCGGCUUAGUCCGUAAGCGCGGUCCGGGGGGAACCGGGCAACAGAACUCCCCCCACUUCUCCGGGUUCCAGUGACGCCCGUCA
RNAcentral lists this transfer-messenger RNA (334 nucleotides) under Paramagnetospirillum magnetotacticum MS-1. RNAcentral's name for it is "Magnetospirillum magnetotacticum MS-1 beta_tmRNA". The stretch from base 10 to 308 matches the Rfam family "Alphaproteobacteria transfer-messenger RNA". From Rfam's summary of the family: Bacterial tmRNA, also known as 10Sa RNA or SsrA, is named for its dual tRNA and mRNA-like properties. Lineage: Bacteria; Pseudomonadati; Pseudomonadota; Alphaproteobacteria; Rhodospirillales; Magnetospirillaceae. The record is from RNAcentral.